This 246-nucleotide ribosomal RNA is filed under the name uncultured bacterium. RNAcentral's name for it is "partial 16S ribosomal RNA". It matches the Rfam family "Bacterial small subunit ribosomal RNA", at positions 118 to 359 of the family's 1533-position model. The record is from RNAcentral.
UGGGUAACGCACCCCAGACACAGGAACAACAACGGGAAACCGUUGCUAAUGCCUGAUAACCCCUGCUUACCGCAUGGCGGGCAGGGCAAAAGCUCCGGCGGUCUGGGACCGGCCCGCGUCCUAUCAGCUUGUUGGUGGGGUAAUGGCCUACCAAGGCGAUGACGGGUAGCUGGCGUGAGAGCGUGACCAGCCACACGUGGGACUGAGACACCGGCCCAGACCUCCGUACGGGAGGCAGNAGGUAGG